UCAAUAAGUCAAUUGUUGGCGUGUGUGUUAGAUCAAACUGUUUCUUGUUGUUUUCGUAAAACUUUAAACUGCAGGAUGGCUACUGGUAUAAUUACAAAAAUUUUUGUGUUGUGUAUGGUUACAUGGAUCGCCCUGAACUUUGGUACGUCGACUAUGGCAAGCCAUCAUCCUACGAUAAUUGAGGAUAAUCUGGAUGACUCUGCUACUAAUUUCGUAAGGCCCAAAGAGGUGACAAUUGAGGAUUUUCUGACAAAGACCGAAUCCAAUUCAUCAUGGGCUAUCACAGUCCGAACUAU
This is a long non-coding RNA of Bradysia coprophila, 296 nucleotides long. RefSeq lists it as uncharacterized. The record is from RefSeq and is a predicted model, not a curated record. NCBI's taxonomy places the organism in Eukaryota, Metazoa, Arthropoda, Insecta, Diptera, Sciaridae.